This is a non-coding RNA of Potamilus streckersoni, 75 nucleotides long. The record is from the annotation of a GenBank genome assembly. Lineage: Eukaryota; Metazoa; Mollusca; Bivalvia; Unionida; Unionidae.
GCUCCGGUAACCUAGUGGUUAUAGAGCGUCCGCCUCGGAUGCGGAAGGUAUUGGGUUCUAUCCCUGAUCGAGUCA